This 234-nucleotide long non-coding RNA is filed under the name Phoenix dactylifera (date palm). RNAcentral's name for it is "long non-coding RNA (PDAC_LNC006394)". Lineage: Eukaryota; Viridiplantae; Streptophyta; Magnoliopsida; Arecales; Arecaceae. The record is from RNAcentral.
AAAGCUAUCAUCACUGCUUGUCAUACAUAUGACUUCUAUUAGAUCUAUUUUUGAUGAAAACUUCUUUUGAUCUUCUGAAAAAUAGAAAAUGAACGAUUGCAUAUUUCUCAUAUUUUUCAGUCGUACAUACUAUGCUUGAUAUGUUCUUAUGAAAAUAAUGCCAAAUCUGAUAAAGAUAUUUCUAUCCUUGGAUAUCAUUCAUCAAGCAAUGCAUAUAGAAUAUUCAAUGAAAAG